Molecule: ribosomal RNA, 490 nt
Filed under: uncultured bacterium
Lineage: Bacteria
Description: partial 16S ribosomal RNA
Rfam family: Bacterial small subunit ribosomal RNA
Source: RNAcentral
AUUGAACGCUGGCGGCAGGCCUAACACAUGCAAGUCGAACGGUAACAGGAAACAGCUUGCUGUUUCGCUGACGAGUGGCGGACGGGUGAGUAAUGUCUGGGAAACUGCCUGAUGGAGGGGGAUAACUACUGGAAACGGUAGCUAAUACCGCAUAACGUCGCAAGACCAAAGAGGGGGACCUUCGGGCCUCUUGCCAUCGGAUGUGCCCAGAUGGGAUUCGCUAGUAGGUGGGGUAACGGCUCACCUAGGCGACGAUCCCUAGCUGGUCUGAGAGGAUGACCAGCCACACUGGAACUGAGACACGGUCCAGACUCCUACGGGAGGCAGCAGUGGGGAAUAUUGCACAAUGGGCGCAAGCCUGAUGCAGCCAUGCCGCGUGUAUGAAGAAGGCCUUCGGGUUGUAAAGUACUUUCAGCGGGGAGGAAGGGAGUAAAGUUAAUACCUUUACUCAUUGACGUUACCCGCAGAAGAAGCACCGGCUAACUCCGUG